UACGUAUGGUGCAAGCGUUAUCCGGAAUGACUGGGUGUAAAGGGAGCGUAGACGGCCAGACAAGUCUGAAGUGAAAAUCCAGCGCUUAACGCUGGAAGUGCUUUGGAAACUGCCGGGCUGGAGUGCAGGAGGGGCAGGCGGAAUUCCUAGUGUAGCGGUGAAAUGCGUAGAUAUUAGGAGGAACACCAGUGGCGAAGGCGGCCUGCUGGACUGCAACUGACGUUGAGGCUCGAAGGCGUGGGGAGCAAACAGG
Molecule: ribosomal RNA, 253 nt
Filed under: uncultured bacterium
Lineage: Bacteria
Description: partial 16S ribosomal RNA
Rfam family: Bacterial small subunit ribosomal RNA
Source: RNAcentral